AAAAGAAAUAGAAAACAAAAACAAAAACGAAAACAAAAAACAAUUAUCUAUAGUCUGUGUAACUGAAAACAGACCACACCAUAAAGAAACAACCGGUACAACAAACCCCCAUGAUGCAUGUUUACCUAGGUAACAAGCCUGCACAUUUACCCUUGAACAAUAAAGUUAAAAAAAAAGGAAAAAAAGAGAAGAUUUUUUUAAAAUCUAAAUAAAUUACCAAAGCAGAUAUUGCAUAUACUAAAUAUAAUCUUUGACAAAGAUACACUAAAAUUUGAAAUUAACUUAAUGGUUUUCAAACAGGAAAAACGUAAAGAAAAAAAACAAACCCCAAACAGCCAUUAACUCGAGAUUUAAAUUAUUAUCCUAGUUAUUGGGUCAAAUAAAAAUUAAAAGUAUAGUCACAUGUAUUCAUAAAUUACUGAGCAGAAGGAUGCUGCACAUCAAAAUUAUAUCACAUCACUAAAGCUAUAUGCAAAGGCAAAUGUGUAACAUUAAAUGUUUUCAUUAUUAAAUAAGAAUGAAAAAUCAAUGCACUAAGCAGACCACUCAUAAUUUAUAAAUCAAUUAAUCAGAAGGAAAAAUACAGUAUUAAAUAAGAGCAGAAUUUAAUGAAUUUGGAAAUAUUAAACAAUAUCUUCGUAUUUUUCCUGUUUGUUGGUAUAACCAAUAAAACAAUGUAUUUCAUUACUAAAUCAAGGGGCAUAAUUAUUGAUAUAAUGAAAAUUAAUUUAAAGAAUCCUUGGAAAUCUAAUGAAGAAAAGGAAAUCACAAACACAAAAUCAGAAAGGAUAAAAAUGAAAAUGACCACUAAUAUUUCUUUAGUAUGUAAUAUGUGUCAGGCACUCUUAUAAGAACAUUACCUAUAUUAUUACAUUUAAUGCUCACUUUUAAACCUUGUGAUAUAUGCACUAUUUUUUUCUCGCUCUUUCAGACAUAUGAAGUACUGAAAUACAAAGGGAUUAGGACUGCAAACAAGUUUAUAAGUGAUGAUUGGGCUUUGUGGUGUGCAUGGCUGGAUGGUGAUUGAAUGAAGACAAAAAAAAACAGUAAGAUUCCAAGAUUGCAGUGAAUUCGUCUGACCCAGAUACGACAGAAGAUCCUCUCUGGUGAAUAUGUGCAACCGUUCUGAACCUCUCUUUUGAAAACUUUACUCUUCUUCUGAUUUGAUUCCAUAAUUGGAAAUUAAAUGGAAACUCAUGCCUUCCUAAAAGUGUUGUA
RNAcentral lists this long non-coding RNA (1218 nucleotides) under Homo sapiens (human). RNAcentral describes it as "HSALNT0335709". Lineage: Eukaryota; Metazoa; Chordata; Mammalia; Primates; Hominidae. The record is from RNAcentral.